This 951-nucleotide ribosomal RNA is filed under the name Triticum aestivum (bread wheat). RNAcentral's name for it is "partial small subunit ribosomal RNA". The record is from RNAcentral. Lineage: Eukaryota; Viridiplantae; Streptophyta; Magnoliopsida; Poales; Poaceae.
AUGGAGUCGAGAUCGGGGCGUCGUCGCCUCCGUUCCUCCUCCCCGACUGAGGACCGCAUCAGCACCCUCCCAGACGACCUGCUCCUCCUCAUCCUCGCCCGCCUCCGAUCCAUCGCCGCAGCCGUGCGCACCAGCGUCCUCUCACGCCGCUGGAGCGGCAGCGGCGGCCUCUGGACCCGCCUCCACGAGAUCGUCUUCCGCGACAUUACCUUCCCCUCGCUCGAAGCGGCGCUCGGUCGCGUCGUCGACCCUCCCGCGGUUUCCCUCCUGGAAAUCCGCGUCCCCGAUGUGCACCGGCCGGGCACCGAAACCAACGUCGGCGGCCUCGGUUUCAACUCGCUGCUGCGCGCUGCCGCGCAGCUCGCACCGGAGGAGUUCGUCUUCCGCUUCCCGUGGGACUUAACCGAUCGUUCCCUCGUCGUCGACAUGCCUUGCUUCCCCCGCACCACCUCCAUCGUCCUGGUCAACUUUUUCCUCUUCCUCCGUGUCCCCGACGGCGUCGACUUCCUGGCGCUCGAGACGCUGUCUCUGUCGGGCAGGCUGCCAGAUCUCGACCCCUGGCUAUCCUGCUGCCCACGCUUGCACGCGCUCCGGCUGCGCAGAGUUUUCAGUGAGGGCGAGCUGAGGGUCAUCUCGGCGUCGCUGCACGAGCUCUCCAUCUUCCGCCUGUACCAACGGAUGCACGGCAUCAACAUCGUCGCCCCCAUGCUCAAGCAAUUGACCAUGUCCUUUUUCUCCUCUGGUGCCAGCAUCUCCGUCUUGGCACCAAUGGUGGAGAAGGUCUCAUGGGACUGCAGGUACUCCAAGCCGUCUAUUGUGUUUGGUCUUUGGCGGCUAGAGCAGGUGACACUACAGAUGGGAGAGACACAAGGACAUGUCCCUACACUGCAGAUUUGUGCCCACGCCGUGCGUCUCUUCUCCCCUCUCAAUUUACUGCAAAGCUUCGACUAA